Molecule: ribosomal RNA, 237 nt
Filed under: uncultured Staphylococcus sp.
Lineage: Bacteria; Bacillati; Bacillota; Bacilli; Caryophanales; Staphylococcaceae
Description: partial 16S ribosomal RNA
Rfam family: Bacterial small subunit ribosomal RNA
Source: RNAcentral
CGGGUGAGUAACACGUGGAUAACCUACCUAUAAGACUGGGAUAACUUCGGGAAACCGAAGCUAAUACCGGAUAAUAUUUUGAACCGCAUGGUUCAAAAGUGAAAGACGGUCUUGCUGUCACUUAUAGAUGGAUCCGCGCUGCAUUAGCUAGUUGGUAAGGUAACGGCUUACCAAGGCAACGAUGCAUAGCCGACCUGAGAGGGUGAUCGGCCACACUGGAACUGAGACACGGUCCAG